Molecule: long non-coding RNA, 422 nt
Organism: Dioscorea cayenensis subsp. rotundata (Guinea yam)
Lineage: Eukaryota; Viridiplantae; Streptophyta; Magnoliopsida; Dioscoreales; Dioscoreaceae
Exons: 3
Source: RefSeq, a predicted model, not a curated record
UUCUCAUUUCAUUUGGCCGAUGGUUUCCCUCCGGCCGAGAAUUUUCCUAGGAUCAGUCAACAGUGGAUCACUGAACCGGUGCUACCUUCACAAACAGAUGCAACAACAAUCAGAGUGGAAGGUGGGUCAGUGGAAAUGAUCCAAAGGAUGAAUGAAUCCACUGCUCAAAAGGCUAAACCAAUUAUCAGUGCUAUUGGUCCUUGCUGGUUAUCACGUCCCCUAAGUCUCGUCUGCAUCACUGCUGUGCUCCACCCACCACACCAGCCAUUAUUAGGUAAUCAUCUUGCUUUCAUUCAAUCUUUCAUUAAUCCUUUCUACAGGAUAACUAGUCUAAAUUAUGCCAUGAUUUUAUUAUAUAUCACGUGAUAAUGAAAUAUGAAUUUGUUCAUUUUUUAUCCAUUCCUUCUCUGGGGUAGUUUCAU